GAAAUAUGAAAGAAAUCAAUAUAAGCUUCUAACUUAAUAUAUAGUGGUUAAAUUCCAUUAAUAUUUCU
RNAcentral lists this transfer RNA (68 nucleotides) under Dorcadia ioffi. RNAcentral's name for it is "tRNA-Ser". The record is from RNAcentral. Lineage: Eukaryota; Metazoa; Arthropoda; Insecta; Siphonaptera; Vermipsyllidae.